GGCAGUCGUGGCAUAAUGGUUAUAGAGUCGGACCUGUAAUCCAAAGGUCGUGGGUUCGAGUCUCAGGUCUGGCA
This is a non-coding RNA of Pangasius djambal, 74 nucleotides long. The record is from the annotation of a GenBank genome assembly. NCBI's taxonomy places the organism in Eukaryota, Metazoa, Chordata, Actinopteri, Siluriformes, Pangasiidae.